Molecule: ribosomal RNA, 228 nt
Filed under: uncultured bacterium
Lineage: Bacteria
Description: partial 16S ribosomal RNA
Rfam family: Bacterial small subunit ribosomal RNA
Source: RNAcentral
UGGGCAACCUGCCCUCAGCACUGGGAUAACCCCGGGAACCGGAGCUAAUACCGGAUACGAGACCGAUUGGCAUCUUCACGGUCUGGAAAGUUUUUCGGCCAGGGAUGGGCUCGCGGCCUAUCAGCUUGUUGGUGGGGUAACGCCACCAAGGCGACGACGGGUAGCCGGCCUGAGAGGGCGACCGGCCACACUGGGACUGAGACACGGCCCAGACUCCUACGGGAGGCA